RNAcentral lists this ribosomal RNA (482 nucleotides) under uncultured bacterium. RNAcentral describes it as "partial 16S ribosomal RNA". It matches the Rfam family "Bacterial small subunit ribosomal RNA", at positions 28 to 507 of the family's 1533-position model. The record is from RNAcentral.
GACGAACGCUGGCGGCGUGCCUAACACAUGCCAGUCGAACGGAACUGUUUUGAAAGAUUUCUUCGGAAUGAAUUUGAUUUAGUUUAGUGGCGGACGGGUGAGUAACGCGUGAGUAACCUGCCUUCAAGAGGGGAAUAACAUUCUGAAAAGAAUGCUAAUACCGCAUGACAUAUCGGAACCACAUGGUUUUGAUAUCAAAGAUUUUAUCGCUUGAAGAUGGACUCGCGUCCGAUUAGUUAGUUGGUGAGGUAACGGCUCACCAAGACCGCGAUCGGUAGCCGGACUGAGAGGUUGAACGGCCACAUUGGGACUGAGACACGGCCCAGACUCCUACGGGAGGCAGCAGUGGGGGAUAUUGCGCAAUGGGGGCAACCCUGACGCAGCAACGCCGCGUGAAGGAUGAAGGUUUUCGGAUUGUAAACUUCUUUUAUUAAGGACGAAAAAUGACGGUACUUAAUGAAUAAGCUCCGGCUAACUACGUG